RNAcentral lists this ribosomal RNA (448 nucleotides) under uncultured bacterium. RNAcentral describes it as "partial 16S ribosomal RNA". It matches the Rfam family "Bacterial small subunit ribosomal RNA", at positions 328 to 793 of the family's 1533-position model. The record is from RNAcentral.
CCCCCAGACUCCUACGGGAGGCAGCAGUGGGGGAUAUUGCACAAUGGGGGGAACCCUGAUGCAGCGACGCCGCGUGAAGGAAGAAGUAUCUCGGUCUGUAAACUUCUAUCAGCAGGGAAGAAAAUGACGGUACCUGACUAAGAAGCCCCGGCUAACUACGUGCCAGCAGCCGCGGUAAUACGUAGGGGGCAAGCGUUAUCCGGAUUUACUGGGUGUAAAGGGGGCGCAGACGGCGAUGCAAGCCAGGAGUGAAAGCCCGGGGCCCAACCCCGGGACUGCUCUUGGAACUGCGUGGCUAGAGUGCAGGAGGGGCAGGCGGAAUUCCUGGUGUAGCGGUGAAAUGCGUAGAUAUCAGGAGGAACACCGGUGGCGAAGGCGGCCUGCUGGACUGCAACUGACGUUGAGGCCCGAAAGCGUGGGGAGCAAACAGGAUUAGAUACCCCAGUAU